RNAcentral lists this unclassified non-coding RNA (473 nucleotides) under Mycoplasma sp. Its description in RNAcentral is "partial contains 16S ribosomal RNA, 16S-23S ribosomal RNA intergenic spacer, and 23S ribosomal RNA". The stretch from base 1 to 111 matches the Rfam family "Bacterial small subunit ribosomal RNA", at positions 1413 to 1533 of the family's 1533-position model. Lineage: Bacteria; Bacillati; Mycoplasmatota; Mollicutes; Mycoplasmatales; Mycoplasmataceae. The record is from RNAcentral.
UGGUAUGCCCGAAGUCGGUUUAUAAACAAACUGCCUAAGGCAGGACUGGUGACUGGGGUUAAGUCGUAACAAGGUAUCCCUACGAGAACGUGGGGAUGGAUCACCUCCUUUCUACGGAGUACAAAAAAACUUUUACUAAUUUAUUAAAACCCAACCUUUUAUCACUAGGCCUUGAUUUAUUUUAUUUUGUUAUGUGGCUUUUGGGCCUAAAAGUCUUAUAUCUAGUUUUGAGAGAAUAUCUCUCAAUGUUCUUUGAAAACUGAAUAGUAAAUUUUUGAUAUUUACAACGACAUCUAAAUAAAUUGAAAAGUCAAUUUGUUUUGAUUCAUCGAGUAAUCAUUUAAAAAAUGAUUCAUUGAAAUGUCUUAAAAUACACAUCAACAAUCUAUACAAUAGGAAUUUUACUUUUAAAUAAGGAAGAGUUUGUGGUGGAUGCCUUGGGUCUGGAAGUCGAUGAAGGACGUGCAAAACCU